This 207-nucleotide long non-coding RNA is filed under the name Ananas comosus (pineapple). RNAcentral describes it as "long non-coding RNA (ACOM_LNC024379)". Lineage: Eukaryota; Viridiplantae; Streptophyta; Magnoliopsida; Poales; Bromeliaceae. The record is from RNAcentral.
UUUUUUUUUUUUUUGAGAGAGAGAAAGGUAGCAUGCUAUCCGCUUCGUUUAUUUCAUUUGAAAAUAAACAUAGCUGGAAAUGUGAAUCAACUAGGAUUCGAACUUGGGUCUCAGGUACUAACCACCAAGCCUUUUGCCACUUGCGCUAGGGACGGUCGGUAAUGAGAUUAGGGUUAUACAUAUGAGAGAGAGAGAGAGAGAGAGAAU